Molecule: long non-coding RNA, 614 nt
Organism: Alosa sapidissima (American shad)
Lineage: Eukaryota; Metazoa; Chordata; Actinopteri; Clupeiformes; Clupeidae
Exons: 3
Source: RefSeq, a predicted model, not a curated record
AGGGUGCGUCUAGAUUUCUAGGCUAGAAGUCAGCAGUAAGUAUAAAAGAUUGUGAUGAAAUGUGAGUAUCUAGUAACAAAAUGAAGAAGAUAGGUCAAACGUGAACAUUUUGGAAUGUGGAAUGUUAUUGUUAUGUAGGAGAAUAUGAAGUUUCUGUGUUCACGUUAAUAGGUUUGAUUGCAAUAGUCUGAAUAUUCCUUUUUUACUACUUCAGACAAGAAGCCAGAUGCAAGCAAAUGGCAAAAGGCAGAAAAAUCAGAGCACCACCAUCAUGACAAAGAUCAUGGAAAGAAGGCACACAGACAGCCGCCUACCAAGUCCUCUGGACCAUCUCGGCCAGCUACAGUAGUACUCCAUCUCGGCGUGGAAAAUGACAGGCUAAGCUCACAUGAUGGCCACUCUCUGUUAUGGUGCCUUGCCAUCACUUCAAUUCGCCAAUUGAAAAGUACUUCUAAAAUGUGUGCAGGCUUUGUUCUGGGAAUGUACAGUAUAAUAUGAAGGAAGGUAUGUGCAGUUAUUCAGGAAUAGCAAUUUGCAGCAAGCCUAUUUAGCAGUUCUUUUUUAAUCACAUAAGAUAAUUUUCUGCAAGCCAUAUGAAUGGGCCCUAGUCAUUG